RNAcentral lists this transfer RNA (73 nucleotides) under Camelus bactrianus (Bactrian camel). It matches the Rfam family "tRNA". Rfam says of the family: Transfer RNA (tRNA) molecules are approximately 80 nucleotides in length. Their secondary structure includes four short double-helical elements and three loops (D, anti-codon, and T loops). Further hydrogen bonds mediate the characteristic L-shaped molecular structure. tRNAs have two regions of fundamental functional importance: the anti-codon, which is responsible for specific mRNA codon recognition, and the 3' end, to which the tRNAs corresponding amino acid is attached (by aminoacyl-tRNA synthetases). tRNAs cope with the degeneracy of the genetic code in two manners: having more than one tRNA (with a specific anti-codon) for a particular amino acid; and 'wobble' base-pairing, i.e. permitting non-standard base-pairing at the 3rd anti-codon position. RNAcentral also lists the same sequence under 1 other name. Lineage: Eukaryota; Metazoa; Chordata; Mammalia; Artiodactyla; Camelidae. The record is from Rfam by way of RNAcentral.
GUAAGUAUAGCUCAGUGGUAAGAGUGCAUGCUUAGUAGGCACAAGGUCUUGGGUUCAAUCCCCAGUACCUCCA